This is a long non-coding RNA of Neofelis nebulosa (Clouded leopard), 936 nucleotides long. RefSeq lists it as uncharacterized. The record is from RefSeq and is a predicted model, not a curated record. NCBI's taxonomy places the organism in Eukaryota, Metazoa, Chordata, Mammalia, Carnivora, Felidae. The transcript is spliced from 4 exons.
ACAGCAACUACUAAGAAAAUGCAUCGUGCGAUUGCCAUCAUUCAUUUAAGGAAGAUUUGCACGGAACCUUGCCUGGGAGAAUAGACAACUGUGAGGCUCAUGAGGUUCAGAAUAUGACUGGGCUUCCAGAGGUCCUGGCUUACCAGGAUUUCUGUGUUAAAAGAUCCCUAAAAUCUUGAAGGAGUUUUAUGAAUCUUACAGUAAUAAAUAUAACUGAAUUAAGACCUACGAAUGAUAUUUCAGCAGCAGGAGAAUUACUCUUGUGAUUAUCAGUGUUCGCUACUUCCUAAAAAUGUGAAGGAGGCAGCUUACCACGGAAGCUAUAAAUACACACCAAAUAAACAAGUAUUUAAAGAGUAAUAAUAAUAAUUAAUAAUAAUAACGCAAAACACAGUGGGGGGAAAGAUCAUUUCUAACACCUGAAGUGCUAUGAUCACCAUUGGUGUCCUUGCUGAAUGGAAGAUCAAACAUCGAAAUCUAUUAUUCUAAACUGGAAGUAUCUAAGAGAAGAAGAUGUCAAUAAGGAAAUAAAACAAGUAGAAGUAAAUACAAACCCAUAAAAGUAUGCCAGGUACUGUAAACCAUUUAAAAACAUAAAUACAAUCGACAUGAAUUUGUUUAUCUUGUAGAACCCCACAUGGGUUAGUUUAAUUGCACAACAAGAAUGAAAGAACAUAUCCUGAAAAAAAAAAAAAAGAAAAAAGAAAAAGGAAAAGCGAGAGCUGCCAAGAAUGAAAGCCAGUGAUGUUUGCCUAAAAAAAAACUGUAAAUCCCUCCUUCCCUAUAUACAGCAGGAUGCUUGGGUCACAGUCUCCAAGUCUUUUGUUCUGAUGAUGAGCGCUAUGUUUCAUUGGCCUGCAGGCCAGAAGACUAUUUAGCAAUGGAGACAUUUUAAAGUACCAAAUAUUUGGUGAAACAUCGGACCAAAUGUUUAUU